GCCUGGGUGGCUCAGUCGGUUAAGCGUCUGACUUCAGCUCAGGUCAUGAUCUCACGGUCCGUGAGUUCGAGCCCCGCGUCAGGCU
Molecule: transfer RNA, 85 nt
Filed under: Felis catus (domestic cat)
Lineage: Eukaryota; Metazoa; Chordata; Mammalia; Carnivora; Felidae
Also listed under: 4 other names
Rfam family: tRNA
About the family: Transfer RNA (tRNA) molecules are approximately 80 nucleotides in length. Their secondary structure includes four short double-helical elements and three loops (D, anti-codon, and T loops). Further hydrogen bonds mediate the characteristic L-shaped molecular structure. tRNAs have two regions of fundamental functional importance: the anti-codon, which is responsible for specific mRNA codon recognition, and the 3' end, to which the tRNAs corresponding amino acid is attached (by aminoacyl-tRNA synthetases). tRNAs cope with the degeneracy of the genetic code in two manners: having more than one tRNA (with a specific anti-codon) for a particular amino acid; and 'wobble' base-pairing, i.e. permitting non-standard base-pairing at the 3rd anti-codon position.
Source: Rfam by way of RNAcentral